This 1000-nucleotide ribosomal RNA is filed under the name Microbacterium sp. HBUM178339. Its description in RNAcentral is "bacterial SSU rRNA". It matches the Rfam family "Bacterial small subunit ribosomal RNA", at positions 33 to 1046 of the family's 1533-position model. Lineage: Bacteria; Bacillati; Actinomycetota; Actinomycetes; Micrococcales; Microbacteriaceae. The record is from RNAcentral.
AGGCUUGGGGGCGUGCUUACACAUGCAGUCGAACGGUGAAGCCAAGCUUGCUUGGUGGAUCAGUGGCGAACGGGUGAGUAACACGUGAGCAACCUGCCCUGGACUCUGGGAUAAGCGCUGGAAACGGCGUCUAAUACUGGAUAUGAGACGUGAUCGCAUGGUCGUGUUUGGAAAGAUUUUUCGGUCUGGGAUGGGCUCGCGGCCUAUCAGCUUGUUGGUGAGGUAAUGGCUCACCAAGGCGUCGACGGGUAGCCGGCCUGAGAGGGUGACCGGCCACACUGGGACUGAGACACGGCCCAGACUCCUACGGGAGGCAGCAGUGGGGAAUAUUGCACAAUGGGCGAAAGCCUGAUGCAGCAACGCCGCGUGAGGGAUGACGGCCUUCGGGUUGUAAACCUCUUUUAGCAGGGAAGAAGCGAAAGUGACGGUACCUGCAGAAAAAGCGCCGGCUAACUACGUGCCAGCAGCCGCGGUAAUACGUAGGGCGCAAGCGUUAUCCGGAAUUAUUGGGCGUAAAGAGCUCGUAGGCGGUUUGUCGCGUCUGCUGUGAAAUCCCGAGGCUCAACCUCGGGCCUGCAGUGGGUACGGGCAGACUAGAGUGCGGUAGGGGAGAUUGGAAUUCCUGGUGUAGCGGUGGAAUGCGCAGAUAUCAGGAGGAACACCGAUGGCGAAGGCAGAUCUCUGGGCCGUAACUGACGCUGAGGAGCGAAAGGGUGGGGAGCAAACAGGCUUAGAUACCCUGGUAGUCCACCCCGUAAACGUUGGGAACUAGUUGUGGGGACCAUUCCACGGUUUCCGUGACGCAGCUAACGCAUUAAGUUCCCCGCCUGGGGAGUACGGCCGCAAGGCUAAAACUCAAAGGAAUUGACGGGGACCCGCACAAGCGGCGGAGCAUGCGGAUUAAUUCGAUGCAACGCGAAGAACCUUACCAAGGCUUGACAUAUACGAGAACGGGCCAGAAAUGGUCAACUCUUUGGACACUCGUAAACAGGUGGUGCAU